This 83-nucleotide transfer RNA is filed under the name Candidatus Woesearchaeota archaeon. Its description in RNAcentral is "tRNA-Ser". It matches the Rfam family "tRNA". From Rfam's summary of the family: Transfer RNA (tRNA) molecules are approximately 80 nucleotides in length. Their secondary structure includes four short double-helical elements and three loops (D, anti-codon, and T loops). Lineage: Archaea; Nanobdellati; Candidatus Woesearchaeota. The record is from RNAcentral.
GUCGCGGUCGCAUAACUUGGUAUUGCACAGGCCUGGAAAGCCUGACCAGAAAUGGUAUCUGGGUUCAAAUCCCAGCCGCGACG